Molecule: RNA transcript, 2780 nt
Organism: Brassica rapa (field mustard)
Lineage: Eukaryota; Viridiplantae; Streptophyta; Magnoliopsida; Brassicales; Brassicaceae
Gene name: F-box protein CPR1
Source: RefSeq, a predicted model, not a curated record
CGCGGAUCAAAAUCUAAUAAAUAUUUUUUUUAUCGACUUUAUAUUAAAACCCAUAAACGGGUGGAAGUUUACAAGCGGAUUCAAGUACAAAGGGCCAAAGCCAAGAUUAUAAAUUAAUUUAAAGCCCUAAAAGGAAGAAAUAUAUAAGGUUGAAUGCUGAUCAUACACGUGUUUUCUUUUUCUUCCACGCAUUCAAUUCUAAGUGCUUCACUGACAUCACACCGUCUUCGUUCAUCACCAAGCAGAGCAACUACAAAACAACGCCAUCCAGCUUGAAGGUUUUCUUCCAUGGCUUUCUCGAUCUCCGCUAGACGCCUUUUGCUUGUCGCCGGGACUGAGGAUAGGAUCUACGACCAUCGGAGGAAUAAGUUCUCAGAUCGCCAGUUCUGAUACAUUCCUUGGAUCACCACCUAACAAGGCGAAGAGAAUCCAGUUCUUUAUGAUCAGUUCCAGCUAAUCCGCAUCACUUGGCUUCCAGACAAGAGGAGACUUUACUCACGGCCGAAUAUAAUCAACAAGUAAAGAUUUAUAACUCUUAGUUAGAAAGAAGACGCAAACCGAUAAGGUAAGAAGAUCCAAUCAGAUCGCAGGUAUGAUUGUCUUCUGGACAAGGCUUUUAGAAGGCAUGAUUAGGAUGCAGAAAGAUAGAAACAAAAAGAUAAAACCGAACAUUAGUCAGAGGUAAAACCAAACGAGUCGGACAUAUAAUCUGAUAAAACGGAAUCUACAAGAUCGGAUUAAAGACCAAAAAACAAAAGAAAAAGUUGGGUGGCGACCGAAAACCGCCGGUGACCAGAUCAGAAAUUUCUCUAGAGUUGAAACCGGAGAGAAGUUAGAGCUUACACUUUCUUUUUAUUUUAUUUUCGGAUUUAAAUUAAUAAAAAUUUACAAUAGAAUCAAAGAAAGAAAGAAGGCAUAUGUCAGCCUUUUGAUUAGAAACAUUAUCAUCGACACAUGUAGACCUCACGGACGCUCUCCUCCAACCACUCACUCAACACACACUUUUUUCCUUGCUUCCUCACCAAAAGUAAAAGUCUCAAAUAUCCAGCUUCCCCAGAUGCGCAAUCCAAAUCAUCAGACAUGACGACGAUUCCAAUGGAUAUCGUGAACGACCUCUUCCUCCGUCUCCCAGCGAAGAGCUUGGUCCGCUUCCGAGCUCUCUCCAAGCCCUGCUACCACCUAAUCAACAGCCCCGACUUCAUCUCAUCCCAUCUCACCCGCGUCCUCCAAACCAACGACCACCUCAUGAUCCUCCUCCGCGGCGCUCUCCAUCUCUACACAGUGGAUCUCGAUUCGCCAGACACCCUCUCCGACGUCGAGCACCCGAUGAAACGCGGCGGCCCGACCGAAGUCUUCGGUUCUUGCAACGGUUUAAUCGGGUUAUCGAAUUCCCCAACCGAUUUAGCCUUAUUUAACCCGUCUACUCGUCAGAUCCACCGGCUACCUCCUUCUCCUGUAGAUCUCCCCGAGGGCUCCAGCACCCGCGGCUACGUGUUUUACGGGUUAGGGUACGAUUCUGUGAACGAUGAUUAUAAAGUUGUGAGGAUGGUUCAGUUUAAGCGUGACCCAGAUGACGAACUUGGUUCUAGUUUCCCUUACGAGGUUAAAGUUUUCAGCUUUAAGAUGAAUUCAUGGAAGAGGAUCGAAUCGGUUUUGCCUCCGAUUCAGCUCUUGUUUUACUUCUAUUACCAUUUGCUCUAUCGUCGUGGCUACGGUGUUCUUGCUGGUAAUAGUCUUCACUGGGUGUUACCUCGACGGCCUGGUUUGAUUGCGUUCAACAUCAUUGUGAGGUUUGAUCUCGCCUUGGAGGUUUUCGACUUUGUGAGGUUUCCGGAACCUGUUGCUAACGGUGAUGUUGAUAUUCAGAUGGAUAUUGGUGUGUUGGAUGGGUGUCUUUGUCUCAUGUGUAACUAUGAUCACAAGUAUGUUGAUGUUUGGAUGAUGAAAGAGUAUAAUGUGAGAGGUUCUUGGUGCAAGGUUUUCACGGUUCACAAACCUAAAAGUGUUAAAAUGUUUUCGUUUAUGAGACCUUUGGUUUAUUCCAAGGAUAGGGAUAAGGUCCUUUUGGAGAUUAAUAAUACGAAGCUGGUGUGGUUUGAUCUUGAGACUAGGAAGCUUAGUACUCUUAGGAUUAAGGAUUGUCCUAGCUCGUAUAGUGCGGAACUUGUUGUGAGUAGCCUUGUUUUGGGAUGUAAAGGAGAUCUUGAUAACAUUAAGCACAGGAAAGAACAACGAGAUAAAGAAGCUAGAGAAUCUAAAAUGUUGCAGAACAGUAAAAAGAGGGAUGAUUUCCUGUCAAAGGGAUUCAAACUGGUCUUAUAAGCAAAAGCAAGAGAACAGACAGAGAAGGUAAGUGUCAUUGUGCUAUUGUUAAUGGUGUUUUCUCUUCUCUUUGGGAUAUGGCCAUUGAUCCAAUGUUUUUAUUAAGAAUUUUUUUAUCUGCAAACCGCUAUCAUGGUUUGAAUUUUCAGGGCUGGGAGAAACCGGAAGGAAGAAUAGCUUUGGAUACCACAGGAGAUAGUAGUAAUCAACAACUUAACAAUAGCGUGUACCAAAGGCUUGGUAAUAAACAACCUUAACAAUAGUUUAAAUCUGAAAAGAGAAGAUACUUCAGUAUGUAUUGGAAGUGUACUAGUUCUAAGAUAUGUAACUUAAUAUGUUGUUGCUUUCUGUAAAUAGAGUGAAAUCAUAAAAUCAUAGUAUGUAACUCUUUUAAAGCUUGUUACGACUUAUGGACGAUGCAUAAAUUACGAUGUGAAGAAGAUUUUAUAAACCUGUCA